UACGUAGGGGCCUAGCGUUGUCCGGAAUUAUUGGGCGUAAAGAGCUCGUAGGCGGUUCGGCAAGUCGGAUGUGAAAUCUCCACGCUUAACGUGGAGGGGCCAUUCGAAACUGCUGUGACUCGAGUCCGGUAGGGGAGUGUGGAAUUCCCGGUGUAGCGGUGAAAUGCGCAGAUAUCGGGAGGAACACCAGUGGCGAAGGCGAGUCCCUGGACAACUCCUGACACUGAGGCACGAAAGCUAGGGGAGCGAA
RNAcentral lists this ribosomal RNA (250 nucleotides) under uncultured bacterium. RNAcentral describes it as "partial 16S ribosomal RNA". It matches the Rfam family "Bacterial small subunit ribosomal RNA", at positions 524 to 772 of the family's 1533-position model. The record is from RNAcentral.